GCUAACUACGUGCCAGCAGCCGCGGUAAUACGUAGGUGGCAAGCGUUAUCCGGAAUUAUUGGGCGUAAAGCGCGCGUAGGCGGUUUUUUAAGUCUGAUGUGAAAGCCCACGGCUCAACCGUGGAGGGUCAUUGGAAACUGGAAAACUUGAGUGCAGAAGAGGAAAGUGGAAUUCCAUGUGUAGCGGUGAAAUGCGCAGAGAUAUGGAGGAACACCAGUGGCGAAGGCGACUUUCUGGUCUGUAACUGACGCUGAUGUGCGAAAGCGUGGGGAUCAAACAGGAUUAGAUACCCUGGUAGUCCACGCCGUAAACGAUGAGUGCUAAGUGUUAGGGGGUUUCCGCCCCUUAGUGCUGCAGCUAACGCAUUAAG
This 370-nucleotide ribosomal RNA is filed under the name Staphylococcus aureus. Its description in RNAcentral is "bacterial SSU rRNA". It matches the Rfam family "Bacterial small subunit ribosomal RNA", at positions 496 to 864 of the family's 1533-position model. The record is from RNAcentral. Lineage: Bacteria; Bacillati; Bacillota; Bacilli; Caryophanales; Staphylococcaceae.